GGGGGUUAGCAGCCCUCAGAGCCCGGUAUCAGUACCUCCUCGGCCUCUGCCAGAGAGGCGCCUGCCUGUGCCGUCCUGGCCCACACCAGGAAGCCAUCCUCGGGUGUCGGCUGGAGCAAACAGCACCAGGAAUGAAGUGACCCCGAGAGAACAAAUCACUUCGCGAGAAGGAUGGGUUCUCGUGUUUUUAUCCUCAACAGAAUCCGAAAAAUUAAAAACGAAUUUGACGCUGGAUUACUUUGUGAUGUUUGGCAUCUAAGCUGGACACAGUUGAAGAAAUGGACGGGCCUCACUAGAAAAAAAAAAAAAAAAUCCCUUCCAGUGUCAUCCAGCCAGCAUGUGCAUUCUGUAAAAAUGAAAAACGGGAUGCUGGUGUCUGUCUGGUUUUCGCAAUAAACAACAUCCAUCUGUGGGUGCAUUGACUCAAUGAGGAGGAGAAAAUAUCUAAACACCUCAUUACGAGAGAGAUGCCUUUCUAAUAACAUUUAGCCUUUUGUGGCUAAUCAUCAUUUAUCAAAAUUGUAAUACCCACAUUACUGUGAUUUGUGUGCUAAGAAUAAUUGUAAUGACCACCUGGUGGAGGGGGGGAUAUUUGAUCAGAGCCUCAUGACCGUGGAAGUGGUAAAGUUUUAAUGUUUUAAUUUAUGCAUAUCGUUGUUUUAAAACAUGAUCGGAGGAUUAUUAUGAGGCUUUACUCGCAUACAACUGAUGCUGGCACGACACGGGUUUGAACUGAGUGUGGGUCCACGUAUAUGCGGAUUUUUUUCUAUCGCUAUAUGAAUAGUACUAUCGAUGUAGUUUCCCUUUCUUAUGAUUUUCUUAGUAAUAUUUUCUGUUUUUUAGCUUGCCUUAUUAUAAGAAUACAGUAUGUAAGGCAUAUACCAUACAAAA
This is a long non-coding RNA of Neofelis nebulosa (Clouded leopard), 891 nucleotides long. RefSeq lists it as uncharacterized. The transcript has 2 exons. The record is from RefSeq and is a predicted model, not a curated record. Lineage: Eukaryota; Metazoa; Chordata; Mammalia; Carnivora; Felidae.